UGGGGAAUAUUGCACAAUGGGCGCAACCCUGAUGCAGCCAUGCCGCGUGUGUGAAGAAGGCCUUCGGGUUGUAAAGCACUUUCAGCGAGGAGGAAGGGUAGUGUGUUAAUAGCACAUUGCAUUGACGUUACUCGCAGAAGAAGCACCGGCUAACUCCGUGCCAGCAGCCGCGGUAAUACGGAGGGUGCAAGCGUUAAUCGGAAUUACUGGGCGUAAAGCGCACGCAGGCGGUUUGUUAAGUCAGAUGUGAAAUCCCCGCGCUUAACGUGGGAACUGCAUUUGAAACUGGCAAGCUAGAGUCUUGUAGAGGGGGGUAGAAUUCCAGGUGUAGCGGUGAAAUGCGUAGAGAUCUGGAGGAAUACCGGUGGCGAAGGCGGCCCCCUGGACAAAGACUGACGCUCAGGUGCGAAAGCGUGGGGAGCAAACA
This 427-nucleotide ribosomal RNA is filed under the name uncultured bacterium. Its description in RNAcentral is "partial 16S ribosomal RNA". It matches the Rfam family "Bacterial small subunit ribosomal RNA", at positions 355 to 774 of the family's 1533-position model. The record is from RNAcentral.